GCCGACGUGGCUCAGUUGGUAGAGCAACGCUUUCGUAAAGCGUAGGUCGCCGGUUCGAGUCCGGCCGUCGGCUCCA
Molecule: transfer RNA, 76 nt
Filed under: Bacteriovoracaceae bacterium
Lineage: Bacteria; Pseudomonadati; Bdellovibrionota; Bacteriovoracia; Bacteriovoracales; Bacteriovoracaceae
Description: tRNA-Thr
Rfam family: tRNA
About the family: Transfer RNA (tRNA) molecules are approximately 80 nucleotides in length.
Source: RNAcentral